CCUGAAGCUCAAGCGGAGCCCGCUGGCCGCAGGGGCCGCACCACGCCCCAGACCCUGGAGUUUCCGGGUGCGCAGACCCUUGUCGUCAGCAGAGGCUGCCGCUGCGCGUCCCCUAGGCGCGGAAGAGGCGGCUGGUGGUCCCUGAUGGCAAGGUUUUAUACAUUACGAAGGCACGUUUCCAUUUCUCCUGGGCAAAUAUUUAGAAGAAAAGUUGCUGGGUAAUUGGUGGAGACAAGGUUUCGCCACAUUGACUGGGCUGGUCUCGAACUCCUGAGCUCAAGCAACCCGCCCUCCUUGACCUCCCAAAGUGCUAGGAUUACAGGAAAGCACUGGAGAAGAGAGAAGACAAGAGAAACAGGUCCAUGGUGACAGGAGCCUAGGAAUAGAGCAGGCCUUCAGUCUUGGUGAAAAAAUAAAUGGUAUUCUAAGCCUUCCUUUGGACAUUAAUUCAGUACUACCCACUCUUUUUCUCUUGUCCAUUCCUCCCUUACAUUUUUUUUAUAAAAUGAAGAACUCAAUCCCUUAUUUUUUUUUCUAUCCUUCAAGUGAGGGGCAAGAACAAAGAGUGUGGGGGAGAUUUUUUUUUUUUUUUUUUGAGACGGAGUCUUACUCUGUCGCCCAGGCUGGAGUGCAGUGGUGCUAUCUCGGCUCACUGCAACCUCCGCCUCCCAGGUUCAAGCGAUCCUCCUGCCUCAGCCUCCCAAGUAGCUGGGACUACAGGCCCGCGCCACCGCAUGCAGCUAAUUUUUUGUAUUUUUAGUAGAGACGAGGUUUCAACAUGUUGGACAGGAUGGUCUUGAUCUCCUUUUUUUUUUUUUUUUUUUUGAGACGGAGUCUCACUCUGUUGGCCAGGCUGGAGUGCAGUGGCGUGAUCUCGGCUCACUGCAAACUCUGCCUCCCAGGUUCACGCCAUUCUCCUGCC
This 922-nucleotide long non-coding RNA is filed under the name Pan troglodytes (chimpanzee). Its description in RNAcentral is "long non-coding RNA NONPTRT008499". The record is from RNAcentral. Lineage: Eukaryota; Metazoa; Chordata; Mammalia; Primates; Hominidae.